GACGAACGCUGGCGGCGUGCUUAACACAUGCAAGUCGAACGGAAAGGCCCUGCUUUUGUGGGGUGCUCGAGUGGCGAACGGGUGAGUAACACGUGAGUAACCUGCCCUUGACUUUGGGAUAACUUCAGGAAACUGGGGCUCAUACCGGAUAGGAGCUCCUGCUGCAUGGUGGGGGUUGGAAAGUUUCGGCGGUUGGGGAUGGACUCGAGGCUUAUCAGCUUGUUGGUGGGGUAGUGGCUUACCAAGGCUUUGACGGGUAGCCGGCCUGAGAGGGUGACCGGCCACAUUGGGACUGCGAUACGGCCCAGACUCCUACGGGCGGCAGCAGUGGGGAAUCUGGCACAAUGGGCGGAAGCCUGAUGCAGCAACGCCGCGUGCGGGAUGACGGCCUUCGGGUGGUAAACCGCUUUCGACUGUGACGAAGCGUGAGUGACGGUAAUGGGUAAAGAAGCACCGGCUAACUACGUG
This 468-nucleotide ribosomal RNA is filed under the name uncultured bacterium. RNAcentral describes it as "partial 16S ribosomal RNA". It matches the Rfam family "Bacterial small subunit ribosomal RNA", at positions 28 to 507 of the family's 1533-position model. The record is from RNAcentral.